UUAACAUUGUUGAACUCGGUGAUUAGACUACCGUUUUUUACAUUACAGGGUACAGCAGGAAAAUACCAGAAAGGGUUUGAAGCUGGGACAAAAUCCGAGUUACUCACAACCGAGCUCAAGGUAAUAUCACUAACCUUCACUACUUUGGUGGUUCAUAUUUAAGACCUUUUCUUCAAUUUGAAUUUCAACCGAAAGCUAUCUAACCAAUAAGCUUGGUCGCUUUAACCCCAUCAACAUGUUGAAUACCCUUCUCUGCAAAUGCAUCACUUUCGCAGCAACAUCACGUUACCCUCUUUUCCACCACUACCCAUUACCAUUUUCUCUGCGUUUCUACACCACAACCACUUCAAAUUCACGCUCCUUUGCGGUAUCCUACCUCAUCCACAAUUUUGGGUUCUCCCCUGAAUCUGCUUCCAAAGUUUCUGAAAACCACAAAAUUUAUUUCCGUACCCCGGAAAAGCCUGAGUCAGUAAUCAGGUUCUUCAGAGACCACGGUUUUUCUGACUCCCAAAUAAACAAUAUGGUUAGAAGGGUACCUAGGCUGAUUUCCUGCAACCCUUGCAAAAGGGUAUUGCCCAAGUUUGAAUUUUUACUCUCGAAAGGUGUUUCUAGCUCUGAAAUUGUUGACCUAAUUAGUAAGUACCCUUUAAUGUUGACUCGAAGCCUGAAGAAUUUUAUAGUGCCAACCUACGAAUUGGUAUAUAGAUUCUUGCAAUCUGAUAAGAACACUGUUGCUUGUAUGUUUGCUAAUUCAUCUGUCUUUGGUAGCGGCUAUCUUGUGGCACACAACGUCAGUGUGAUGCUUAAGAAUGGAUUGAGUGAAUCAAACAUUGCAAGAUUGCUUCGGUACCGUAGUAAGGCGGUGUUCCGUGCAACGGAUAUUCUUAAAGUGGUGAGGGAAGUAAAGGAUUUGGGAUUUGAUCCUUCAAAAGUUGCUUUUGUUAUGGCAUUGCUAGCCAUAAAACGUUACGAUCAAAACUUGUGGAAGGAGAAAGUUGACGUCUUCAAGAAAUGGGGUUGGUCUGAUGAAACCUUUCUUGAAGCAUUUAGGAGGCACCCUCACUGUAUGUUGACAUCCACUGACAAAAUAAAUAUAGUGAUGAAUUUUUGGGUCAAUCAGAUGGGGUGGGAUGCUUUAGCCCUUGUCAAAGGUCCAAAGAUUUUCGGGUUGAGUAUGGAGAAAACAAUCAUUCCAAGAGCCUCAAUAGUGCAGUUGCUUCUUGAGAAAGGUUUGCGAAAAAGGAGUGCAAGCAUAACUUGCCCCAUUAUGAUACCUGAAAAGAGGUUCCUGAACAGGUUUAUAAAAUGUUUUAAGGAGGAGUCUUCUGAUCUGUUAAAGUUGUAUGCGGAAAAGCUGAAUCUUGCGUAUUCCAGGGAGAAGUCUGGAAUGUUGUGCACCAAAUAAGUAACUUCUUAAUCAAUUUUCAUAUAGUUUCAAUGUCUUGUUCCUUCUUCAGUUUAAGUACUUGUUCAAUAUAGACUACAACUGGAGCUAGUAUAGCUAACUGGUUUCAUUUGCAAAUUUGGUCCACUCUAGUUAUUGUUUUCAUUAUUUGUUUUUUUUCACUAUUGCGAUGUUUAUCAGUCUUUUUGCCAGCAAAUAGCAACACUAGCAAAAGUUCAAAUCGUCUUGUCUUGCAUGUGUGAUCAUGAAAUAAUUGUGAUAGAUUUGUUUCUCUCACAUUAGGUUGCUGGACUUGUAAUGGUUUUAAAUUGCAGUUUUAGUUGUGAUUAUGAUUUCUUUGCAAUUGCCAAAAUAAUGAAAAGUUAUGAGCAAAUGCAGCCACAAAGGCUGUUAUGUAGACCUUCAAUCCUCAAUAUUGUGGCGUUAAUAAUACCAUAAUCAGGUCAUAUACACUGCACUUAAUUUUUUCACAUAUUGGCAAGUUACUCAUUAUUUUUACCCUUUGGUUAAACUGAUUUGGAUAAUGUGUAGUUAGGUUUAAAUAGCAGAGGUAUUUAUUUAUUUUAAUUAACUGCCAUUUAGUCCUUGUUCUUCAGUUUUUUUCUUUUCUCGAGUGCAUGAUAACUAAGCAAUAAGAAUUUCUUGAACAGUUUGUUCCCACGUACUUUUUGAGGAAAUAUUUUACUUAAUUGUUUCUGGGUAUUGUGUAUUUCCGUUAUGCUUUUACAUGUUGACACUGAACACUAAAAUGAAGCAUUCUUACCUUAAGGCUCAUGCUUCUGCUUCGUUGAAGCAAUAUGGUGAAGAAAACUUGGGCCCUUCUAUGCCAGAAAAUAAUUCAGGACUGCGUGGCAGAUUUCACAUGUUCCAGAUCAAAUUUUCACUCAUGUAUGUGGCAAGAAGUGUGUUCUUAUUGUGGACGGGGUAGCCAUUCGCUGACUUUGUGCAGAAAGAGUAUGAGACAUCACCUAUUUCCAUUGAAGUUUGAAAGAUAGCUGAUUGUUAUGUCAACUAAUCUAGGGCAACUGGUAUAGCAUUAUUAUGGAAUGCUGGGUAGGUAUAUGCAAAUAGAAGGGACAUAUUAGGGUGUGUUUAUUAACCCCUUUGGAGCCUUGUAAACAGAAGUUCCUGCUUUCCAAAGCAGCAAAUGUAGAAGGAAUGCGGCAGAUGGAUUGGUGUUCAAUUGAACCCAAUUGAGUUCCAAACACACACUUAGUCUUAGGGGCUUUCCUGUUUUAGCAUUCCUUUGUUAUCUGAUGUUUGAUUGAAGUGUAAAAAGCAAUAUGUUAAGAACCAUCCCUCGUAAGCUAAUAGUUGCAGAAGCUGUAGCCUUUAAGCCAAAAACCUUGUGGGUAUGAACUUUGAUGCCUAUCUUUGGACGGGGUGGUCCAGAGAUACCAUUCUUGAAGCAUUGAUUAAGCAAGCCAUAGUGAAUGUUCUUAUUGAGAGAUAAAAUUAAUGCUGUGGCGAUAUUUUGCUUGAA
Glycine soja is the source of this 2888-nucleotide RNA transcript. RefSeq lists it as uncharacterized. The transcript is spliced from 2 exons. NCBI's taxonomy places the organism in Eukaryota, Viridiplantae, Streptophyta, Magnoliopsida, Fabales, Fabaceae. The record is from RefSeq and is a predicted model, not a curated record.